Molecule: ribosomal RNA, 484 nt
Filed under: uncultured bacterium
Lineage: Bacteria
Description: partial 16S ribosomal RNA
Rfam family: Bacterial small subunit ribosomal RNA
Source: RNAcentral
AUUGAACGCUGGCGGCAUGCUUUACACAUGCAAGUCGAACGGCAGCGCGGGCUUCGGCCUGGCGGCGAGUGGCGAACGGGUGAGUAAUACAUCGGAACGUGCCCAGUAGUGGGGGAUAGCUCGGCGAAAGCCGGAUUAAUACCGCAUACGACCUGAGGGUGAAAGCGGGGGAUCUUCGGACCUCGCGCUAUUGGAGCGGACGAAGGCAGAUUAGCUAGUUGGUGGGGUAAAGGCCUACCAAGGCGACGAUCUGUAGCUGGUCUGAGAGGACGACCAGCCACACUGGGACUGAGACACGGCCCAGACUCCUACGGGAGGCAGCAGUGGGGAAUUUUGGACAAUGGGCGAAAGCCUGAUCCAGCAAUGCCGCGUGUGUGAUGAAGGCCUUCGGGUUGUAAAGCACUUUUGGCGGGAACGAAAAGGACUGUGCCAAUACCACGGUUCGAUGACGGUACCCGCAGAAUAAGCACCGGCUAACUACGUG